CCUACGGAUGGCUGCAGUGGGGAAUAUUGCUCAAUGGGGGAAACCCUGAUGCAGCCACGCCGCGUGAGUGAAGAAGUACUUCGUUAUGUUAAGCUUCAUCAGCAGGGAAGAAAAUGACGGUACCUGUGCAAGAAUCCCUGGAUAACUACGGGCCAGCAGCCGUGGUUAGACGUAGGGGGCCAGCGUUAGCCGGAUGUACUGGGUGUAAAGGGAGCGUAGUCGGUGCGUCAAGUCUGGAGUGAAAUGCCGCAGCUUAACUGCGGAACUGCGGUGGAAACUGGCGAACUAGAGUGCGGGAGGGGUAAGCGGAAUUCGUGGUGUAGCGGUGAAAUGCGUAGAUAUUAGGAGGAACACCGGUGGCGAAGGCGGCUUACUGGACCGUAACUGACGUUGAGGCUCGAAAGCGUGGGGAGCAAACAGGAUUAGAUACCCCUGUAGUC
RNAcentral lists this ribosomal RNA (440 nucleotides) under uncultured bacterium. RNAcentral describes it as "partial 16S ribosomal RNA". It matches the Rfam family "Bacterial small subunit ribosomal RNA", at positions 338 to 795 of the family's 1533-position model. The record is from RNAcentral.